This 115-nucleotide non-coding RNA is filed under the name uncultured eukaryote. The record is from RNAcentral.
UUUAUUUUAUUUCAUUUCAAAUUUCUUUUAGAAUAAAAUAAAGAUGUGGUUACUAGUAUUGUGAUAAAAUGCCCAAAUUGGCGUACGUUUUUUUCACGCGUAUGUAUAUGGGUUG